RNAcentral lists this long non-coding RNA (1218 nucleotides) under Marmota monax (woodchuck). Lineage: Eukaryota; Metazoa; Chordata; Mammalia; Rodentia; Sciuridae. The record is from RNAcentral.
CCAUGAGCUACAUAGGCACCCUUAAUGCUCUGAAUGGUACUAAAAUAGUCUAAAAGAUAAAAUUAAUUUUAUUGUAUAUAUUUUGCCUUUCUCAUAGAUUUCAUCUGAUUUGGGGAAUUCUUGUGAAUGGAUUUGAAGAUUCAAAUCAGAAAUAGAACAUCCCAUGAGUAUCUUAUUUGGUUCUUUGAAAUUGUCUUCUCACCUCUCACCAUAGUGAGCAACAAGUUUAAACUCUGGGACUGUCGGAUGUGUGAACAGGAGGAGAGGGUGAGUUCACCAAUAUGAUAAAAUCAGCAGAGGGAGCACCAAACAUUCUAAUUCCACCAACCCUUCAAAAAUAUAGUUGAAAGAUUUCUAUUACAGUACACUUCAAACUAUAUCAACCAGAGAUGCAUUAAAACAAUUUUUGAAAACAUUUUUUAGUUGUAAAUGGAUCUUUUAUUUAUUUAUUUAUUUAUGCGUAUGCUAUGCGGUGCUGAAGAUUGAACCCAGGGCCUCACACAUGCCAGGCAAGUGCUCUACCACUGAGCCACAACCUAGCCCCAGCCCCAGCAUUAAAACAAUUUUCAUGUGAUUGAGUAUUUUCAAAUUAUAAUAAUGAAUAAAAUCCAUGAGAUUUUAUCUACAACAGUGUUUCUGUGGGUCAUGUUCUAUUUAGAAAUCCAAUAUGCUGUAUUAAAUUGAUCAAUGACCCUUUGCGUCGCUUGGCUCCAAAUACAUCAAUGUUUUUCUCUAAAUAUUAAAUUAAUAUUAAAUAAAUAUUAAAUUAAUAAAAAAAAUAUAUAAGAAUAGCCUUGCCUCUUUGGAUCAAGAAGACAUUUAAUGAAACCUGCUUCUCCUUUUGAUUGCCUAUGAUUACAUGCCUUUGUAGAAAUCAACAUUUUUAGUUUAAAAUAGAUGUUGUUCUUUAUUUUGUGAGUUUAAUUACAGCAUACCUUGAUAAAAAUGGAUAUCUAAUAUAUGAGAUUUUUCUGGAAAAGAAAAGCAAUGUAAAUACCAAUAGGGAAAUCUUGUAAUAAUUUUUAGUUCACUAUGUCCAAAUAUGUCUAAAUGGAGUGGAAUGGCAUCUGUAAAUUGUUCUUCCUGGUCACGUGGAAACAAAGUUAGCUAUCUCUUCUCACUCGACUUUUGAGUAAAAGGUGGGGGGGAAAAAGGCCUGGUAUCUCCUUGCAACUGUUAGAAAUUAAAAAUAAAUAAAUAAACAGUAGGAUUCUAAAA